Molecule: ribosomal RNA, 528 nt
Filed under: uncultured bacterium
Lineage: Bacteria
Description: bacterial SSU rRNA
Rfam family: Bacterial small subunit ribosomal RNA
Source: RNAcentral
GUAACACGUGGGCAACCUGCCCUGAAGCGGGGGACAACAGUCCGAAAGGACUGCUAAUACCGCAUGUGGAUCCGGAUGGCAUCAUCUGUAUCCAAAGACUUCGGUCGCUUCAGGAUGGGCCCGCGGCCUAUCAGCUUGUUGGUGGGGUAACGGCUACCAAGGGUUCGACGGGUAGCUGGUCUGAAGGACGGCCAGCCGGAUUGGGACUGAAUACGGGCCAGAAUCCUACGGGGGGCAGCAUUAGGAAUCUUGCGCAAUGGGGGAAACCCUGACGCAGCGACGCCGCGUGAAGGAUGAAAUUCUUCGGAAUGUAAACUUCUUUUAUUUGGGAAGAAGAAUGUGACGGUACCAAAUGAAUAAGCCCCGGCUAACUACGUGCCAGCAGCCGCGGUAAUACGUAGGGGGCGAGCGUUGUCCGAAUUUACUGGGCGUAAGGAGCAUUAAGGCGGUUUCUUAAGUGAGAGGUGAAAGGUUCGGGCUUAACCCGAACACUGCCUUUCAUACUGGGAGACUUGAGUGCGGGAGAGG